UACGAAGGGGGCUAGCGUUGUUCGGAAUUACUGGGCGUAAAGCGCACGUAGGCGGAUAUUUAAGUCAGGGGUGAAAUCCCAGAGCUCAACUCUGGAACUGCCUUUGAUACUGGGUAUCUUGAGUAUGGAAGAGGUAAGUGGAAUUCCGAGUGUAGAGGUGAAAUUCGUAGAUAUUCGGAGGAACACCCGUGGCGAAGGCGGCUACUCUGGGACGGUACUGACGCUGAGACGCGAAAGCGUGGGGAGCGAACAGG
Molecule: ribosomal RNA, 254 nt
Filed under: uncultured bacterium
Lineage: Bacteria
Description: partial 16S ribosomal RNA
Rfam family: Bacterial small subunit ribosomal RNA
Source: RNAcentral